RNAcentral lists this ribosomal RNA (309 nucleotides) under uncultured bacterium. RNAcentral describes it as "bacterial SSU rRNA". It matches the Rfam family "Bacterial small subunit ribosomal RNA", at positions 35 to 328 of the family's 1533-position model. The record is from RNAcentral.
GCUGGCGGCGUGGAUUAGGCAUGCAAGUCGAACGAGAAAGCACCCUUCGGGGUGUGAGUAAAGUGGCGAACGGGUGAGUAACGCGUGGGAAACCUGCCUUUGAGUGGGGGAUAACAGUCCUAACGGGCUGCUAAUACCGCAUGACGCUAUCAAUCACAUGUUUGAUAGUUAAAGAUGGCCUCUACAUGUAAGCUGUCGCUCGAAGAUGGUCCCGCGUCCUAUUAGCUUGUUGGUGGGGUAACGGCCUACCAAGGCAACGAUGGGUAGCCGGCCUGAGAGGGUGGCCGGUCACACUGGGACUGAGAUACG